Molecule: ribosomal RNA, 253 nt
Filed under: uncultured bacterium
Lineage: Bacteria
Description: partial 16S ribosomal RNA
Rfam family: Bacterial small subunit ribosomal RNA
Source: RNAcentral
UACGAACUGUGCGAACGUUAUUCGGAAUCACUGGGCUUAAAGGGCGCGUAGGCGGCUCGCGAGGUCGGGGGUGAAAUCCCACGGCUUAACCGUGGAAGGGCCUUCGAUACCGGCGGGCUAGAGGAAGGUAGGGGUGCGCGGAACUUCUGGUGGAGCGGUGAAAUGCGUUGAUAUCAGAAGGAACGCCGGCGGCGAAAGCGGCGCACUGGACCUUUUCUGACGCUGAGGCGCGAAAGCCAGGGGAGCAAACGGG